Molecule: ribosomal RNA, 449 nt
Filed under: uncultured bacterium
Lineage: Bacteria
Description: SSU rRNA
Rfam family: Bacterial small subunit ribosomal RNA
Source: RNAcentral
AGGAUGAACGCUGGCGGUCUGCUUAACACAUGCAAGUCGAACGGAGUAGCAAUACUUAGUGGCGGACGGGUGAGUAACGCGUGAGAAUCUACCUUCAGGACGGAGACAACAGUUGGAAACGACUGCUAACCCCCGAUGUACCGAAAGGGCAAAUAUUUAUAGCCUGAAGAAGAGCUCGCGUCCGAUUAGCUAGUUGGAGAGGUAAAAGCUCACCAAGGCGACGAUCGGUAGCUGGUCUGAGAGGACGAUCAGCCACACUGGGACUGAGACACGGCCCAGACUCCUACGGGAGGCAGCAGUGGGAAUUUUCCGCAAUGGGCGAAAGCCUGACGGAGCAAGACCGCGUGGGGGAAGAAGGCUCUUGGGGUUGUAAACCCCCUUUUCUCUGGGAAGAACGCAAUGACGGUACCAGAGGAAUCAGCAUCGGCUAACUCCGUGCCAGCAGCCGC